AUGUCAACGUUGCAAGGAGAAUGAGAUGAAGGUGAGUUUUCACCGUAAAAAAAUGGUGGUUGUUCGGAGACGAGAGAAUGCGGUGUAGAGGUCCGAUAAAGGUUGGUCGGGAGUUUGGAUGAAUGAUGCGUAUGUGGUGUCACCGGAAAAUGGAGUUGUGGUGCAGUAAUGGUGGAGAUGUGUUUGAAGUAGGUUGUUUGUAUGAAGUAACAAUUGCGGAAGUUGGUGAGGAAGGGAGUAUGCGUGGU
Molecule: long non-coding RNA, 248 nt
Filed under: Lathyrus oleraceus (garden pea)
Lineage: Eukaryota; Viridiplantae; Streptophyta; Magnoliopsida; Fabales; Fabaceae
Description: Pisum sativum (pea) long non-coding RNA (PSAT_LNC002423)
Source: RNAcentral